Leucoraja erinaceus (little skate) is the source of this 1367-nucleotide long non-coding RNA. RefSeq lists it as uncharacterized. The record is from RefSeq and is a predicted model, not a curated record. The transcript has 3 exons. Lineage: Eukaryota; Metazoa; Chordata; Chondrichthyes; Rajiformes; Rajidae.
GAGGCCUAUCACGGAGCUGGCGGCCUCCAACUGCGACCGACCUCGAGGCUGCAGAGGCAGGACUUACCAACGCGAGGCUGGCCGACUUCGGGGCUGUGGUUGCGGGGCGACCCAACUUCCGACCCGACUUUGGAGCCUCGGAGGCUCGGCCACGGGCCAGUGGACGACAUCAUCGGGAGCUCGCAGGUCACAGGUAGUUACCUGUUUUUCCUGAGCUCCCGCAACUACAGCUGCAUCCGCUGGACUGGAGGGCGGCAGCUUCGGCAGCUUCGACCGCCCCGGGCCGCAGAGUUUGAACCGGCCUGUUUGCGGAGCACGGAUUCAGCCGCGGGACUUACCUACCAUCACCCGGCGGGGUCACAACAUCGGAGGCUUGGAUUGCCUCAGCGCAGAGGGAGAGUAAGGAGGGAAGAGACAAUGACUUUGGGACUUUAAACUGUGUUGAGUGUUUGUUAUUUGUUCUAUGUUAUGACUGUAGGCUAAACCAUUUUGUUGCACUGAAAAGUGCAAUGACAAUAAAUUGAAUCAAAAUCAAAUCAAAUCAUGAGAAGGUGCUGGAACUGGAUUGGCCAUGUAUUGAGAAGAGAACCAGACAGCAUCCCAAGAAUAGCCCUGCACUGGACACCGGAAGGGAAAAGGAAAAGCGGGAGACCUAAAACCACCUGGCGUCGAACUGUAGAGGCGGAAAUGAAAACAAUGGACCUGACCCGGGGUAGAGUCCUGACGCUAGCCCAGAACACACAGGAAUGGAGGACCUUCGUUGCUGCCCUACAUGCCAGGAGUAAGAGACGCACCUUAAAGAUCACGCUCAGACCAGGCUGAAGUCUAACUGGAUCGGUCAAAUAUAUCACUCUUCUUAUCUCUCCAAAUCCAGAGGUACUGCAAUUAUAAUCCGUAAGGGCAUACCAUUUAAACAUAAAAACACCAUAGCAGACAAAGAUGGCAGACUCCACCCAGCAAAACCUGAUAAUUGGGGAAGAUUUCAAUUGUGUUCUGGAUCAGUACUUGGAUAAAUCCUCACAACAAAAGAGAUAUAAUACAAAAUCAAAAUCCAGCGAACUUUUAAAUACGUAUAUAAGAAAUACAAAUAUAACAGACAUAUGGAGGAUUGCAAAUCCAUCCGGAAGAGAAUUAAAAAAAUCGGGAACGGAAGUCCGAUCGAUUGUUCUUCAGCAGCUGGCAGCCCGAGGAAGUCCGCCUCCGAUAAGCAGUAGAAAACGGCAUUUUAAUCCCGCCUAGCCCCCCAAAGGCGCCAAAGUCACGCACACGGCCAGUGGCAGAACUGCAGCGCAGCUGAAGGUAAGUUUUGUAACAUCGCUAAUAUAUUACUUUGCUGCAAUAAUAUGAAAUACUGUGGUUCAAGAUCC